GACGAACGCUGGCGGCGUGCCUAACACAUGCAAGUCGAACGGGAGCAAGUGCUUCGGUAUUUGCUUUAGUGGCGAACGGGUGAGUAACACGUAAGCAACCUGCCUAUCAGAGGGGAACAACAGUUAGAAAUGACUGCUAAUACCGCAUAUGCCAUAGUCACCACAUGGUGAUAGUGGAAAAGGAACAAUCCGCUGAUAGAUGGGCUUGCGUCUGAUUAGAUAGUUGGUGGGGUAACGGCCUACCAAGUCGACGAUCAGUAGCCGAACUGAGAGGUUGAACGGCCACAUUGGGACUGAGAUACGGCCCAG
Molecule: ribosomal RNA, 309 nt
Filed under: uncultured bacterium
Lineage: Bacteria
Description: bacterial SSU rRNA
Rfam family: Bacterial small subunit ribosomal RNA
Source: RNAcentral